RNAcentral lists this ribosomal RNA (1017 nucleotides) under uncultured bacterium. RNAcentral's name for it is "bacterial SSU rRNA". It matches the Rfam family "Bacterial small subunit ribosomal RNA", at positions 355 to 1375 of the family's 1533-position model. The record is from RNAcentral.
UGAGGAAUAUUGGUCAAUGGGCGAGAGCCUGAACCAGCCAAGUAGCGUGAAGGAUGAAGGUCCUACGGAUUGUAAACUUCUUUUAUACGGGAAUAAAGUUUCCUACGUGUAGGAUUUUGUAUGUACCGUAUGAAUAAGCAUCGGCUAACUCCGUGCCAGCAGCCGCGGUAAUACGGAGGAUGCGAGCGUUAUCCGGAUUUAUUGGGUUUAAAGGGAGCGCAGACGGGAGAUUAAGUCAGUUGUGAAAGUUUGCGGCUCAACCGUAAAAUUGCAGUUGAUACUGGUUUCCUUGAGUGCAGUUGAGGCAGGCGGAAUUCGUGGUGUAGCGGUGAAAUGCUUAGAUAUCACGAAGAACCCCGAUUGCGAAGGCAGCUUGCUAAACUGUAACUGACGUUCAUGCUCGAAAGUGUGGGUAUCAAACAGGAUUAGAUACCCUGGUAGUCCACACGGUAAACGAUGGAUACUCGCUGUUGGCGAUAUACUGUCAGCGGCCAAGCGAAAGCAUUAAGUAUCCCACCUGGGGAGUACGCCGGCAACGGUGAAACUCAAAGGAAUUGACGGGGGCCCGCACAAGCGGAGGAACAUGUGGUUUAAUUCGAUGAUACGCGAGGAACCUUACCCGGGCUUAAAUUGCAGACGAAUUACGAGGAAACUUGUAAGCCGCAAGGCGUCUGUGAAGGUGCUGCAUGGUUGUCGUCAGCUCGUGCCGUGAGGUGUCGGCUUAAGUGCCAUAACGAGCGCAACCCUCGUGGCCAGUUACUAACAGGUUAAGCUGAGGACUCUGGCCAGACUGCCAUCGUAAGAUGUGAGGAAGGUGGGGAUGACGUCAAAUCAGCACGGCCCUUACGUCCGGGGCUACACACGUGUUACAAUGGGAGGUACAGAAGGCCGCUACCCGGCAACGGGAUGCCAAUCCCCAAAACCUCUCUCAGUUCGGACUGGAGUCUGCAACCCGACUCCACGAAGCUGGAUUCGCUAGUAAUCGCGCAUCAGCCACGGCGCGGUGAAUACGUUCCC